CGGGGUGCCCAGGCGCGAAAACUUUGCACUGCGGGAAACCGUGACAAGGGAACUCUGAGUGCCCGUUAAAUCGGGCUGUCCAUCGGUUUAACAACCGGUGAAGAAAGGGCCGGGCAAGACCGGUGCCAGCCGCCGCGGUAAUACCGGCGGCUCGAGUGGUGGCCACUAUUACUGGGCUUAAAGCGUUCGUAGCUGGUUUGUUAAGUCUCUGGGGAAAUCUUCCGGCUCAACCGGAAGGCGUCUCAGGGAUACUGGCAGACUAGGGACCGGGAGAGGUGAGAGGUACUCCAGGGGUAGGAGUGAAAUCCUGUAAUCCUUGGGGGACCACCUGUGGCGAAGGCGUCUCACCAGAACGGCUCCGACAGUGAGGGACGAAAGCUGGGGGAGCAAACCGGAUUAGAUACCCGGGUAGUCCCAGCUGUAAACGAUGCGCGUUAGGUGUAUCGGUGACCACGAGUCACCGAGGUGCCGAAGAGAAAUCGUGAAACGUGCCGCCUGGGAAGUACGGUCGCAAGGCUGAAACUUAAAGGAAUUGGCGGGGGAGCAC
This 547-nucleotide ribosomal RNA is filed under the name uncultured archaeon. RNAcentral describes it as "bacterial SSU rRNA". It matches the Rfam family "Archaeal small subunit ribosomal RNA", at positions 326 to 879 of the family's 1478-position model. The record is from RNAcentral.